UAGGGAAUAUUAGAAAUGGACGAAAGUCUGAUCUAGCAACACCGCGUGUGCGAAGAAGGCCUUCGGGUUGUAAAGCACUUUUUGAGAGGAUGAGGAAGGACGGUACUCUCAGAAUAAGUCUCGGCUAACUACGUGCCAGCAGCCGCGGUAACACGUAGGAGGCAAACGUUAUCCGGAUUUACUGGGCGUAAAGCGCGUGUAGGUGGUUUGGUAAGUAGAGCGUGAAAGCUCCUGGCUCGACUGGGAGAGGCCGUUCUAAACUACAGAACUAGAGGAUGGUAGAGGGAGGUGGAAUUCCAGGUGUAGCGGUGGAAUGCGCAGAUAUCUGGAGGAACACCGGUGGCGAAGGCGGCCUCCUAGACCAUUCCUGACACUCAGACGCGAAAGCUAGGGUAGCAAACG
This 402-nucleotide ribosomal RNA is filed under the name uncultured prokaryote. Its description in RNAcentral is "bacterial SSU rRNA". It matches the Rfam family "Bacterial small subunit ribosomal RNA", at positions 355 to 774 of the family's 1533-position model. The record is from RNAcentral.